Molecule: transfer RNA, 71 nt
Filed under: Caldicellulosiruptor bescii
Lineage: Bacteria; Bacillati; Bacillota; Caldicellulosiruptorales; Caldicellulosiruptoraceae
Also listed under: 1 other name
Description: tRNA-Gly
Rfam family: tRNA
About the family: Transfer RNA (tRNA) molecules are approximately 80 nucleotides in length. Their secondary structure includes four short double-helical elements and three loops (D, anti-codon, and T loops).
Source: RNAcentral
GCGGGUGUAGUUCAAUGGUAGAACACCAGCUUCCCAAGCUGGCAGCGUGGGUUCGAUUCCCAUCACCCGCU